UGGGGAAGCAGAGCUGCUCUGCCUGCCAUGUUUCAGUCAUGACGCAGUGCAUGAAGAGUGCUUACUUCUUGUGGCUCAAGAAUUCAAACCAGGUAUAACUUACAGAUUGACUCCACAGCUCGAUAUUAGCAUGCUAAAACAACAACUCUAGAAUGAUGCAUGCAGUAAAAUGAUUUGAUCGCAGCUGUUGUUCACAGAGAGAGCUACGGCGCUACCUGAGGGUAGCUUAAAAGAUUCUAAGGAUAAAAGUGAGUAACAAUGGUAGUAUCAAUGGCAGUAUAGAUUUUGUCCUUUUUUUGUUUUGUAUUUGACUGACUUUUUGGGUUUGAAGGAGUUAAGGAGGAAACGUUUUCAGUGGUCCUGGUUGGGGCCUCCACAGCGCUCCUGAUUGUCCUGCUUGCUCUGUUGUUUUGGGUCCUUCUUCUUUCUGCUGAGAGAUUCAGUAAGACACUUCAGGUUAAUCUCUUUCAAAGAUCACAAAAUCCGAAUUCAAACACUUUUGCAAUAUUUAGAGCCAGUUCCUGAGCCCGGAGAGCCGCAAAGUGAGGCAAAGCCUCAGUACAAACCGCUGCAGACCUCCACAGAGAAAGGAGCAGCACUAACAGACGUCCCUGUUUCAGCUGAGGAUCCAGCAAGGUGUGUUCUAUGAAUGUCUCUUCAGAGAAGCGCUGCAUCAUUACCUCUGAUCGUUGCCCUGAUCGGCUCUUGUAUAAUCAUUUACUGCACUCCCACACUCCUCAGAGGGCUGAGCUCAGUGAACCAUGAGAGUGAGCUGUAUCCAACCUCCAUCGUGAUCAAUGUUACCACCAACAUCAAGCCCUGCAGUGAAAACAAAGACACCAUCUCACAGGAGCAACAACAAGACUUCACCACAGAGGAGAUGCAGCAAAAACUGCAGACAAUUUGGGAGCUCGCUCAAGGUCAGAGUAUUGAGAUGCUUGACUAUGACUCGGUCCAGGACAUUUCCCUGCUCCUUGACUCUGGGGACAGCAUCUACAUCCUGAAGAGGUUGGCGUUGUCGUUAGGCGUUCCCCCUCAUAUCGCUGCUCUUCUCAGGGGCUUCCAGGACCUUUUCCAGUACCUGCGCACCUCUACCUACACACAGCUGCCACAGCUGGCCCAAGCGGCUGCUCUCCUGCCUAAUUCUGAAAUAGUUUCAAGGAUCCACAAAGCAGUGGUGAUUAAAGGACCUGUUACACCUUAAAUAUCCUGUCCCAAGUAUAACCUUGUAGCAUGAUUUCUGACUUACUUGACAUUUUUGCAACUGAAAGGUUUCAUUCAGUAAGCCUACUUUCUGCUGGAACAGAGAGAUGCUCUUAAGAAAUGCUUUUUUUUUUUUUUUUUUUUUAAAUAAAAAUCUCAUAUCACUGUAAGCUGACGAUGAACACUUACUUUAUUCCCAGCACUUCUUAUACCAAUGUUUAAUGUAAUGUUUAAUAUACUAACAUUUGUAUUUGUAACAUGUUUUUUAUGGCAGUAA
RNAcentral lists this long non-coding RNA (1480 nucleotides) under Oryzias javanicus (javanese ricefish). RNAcentral's name for it is "lncRNA (ENSOJAG00000004512.1)". The record is from RNAcentral. Lineage: Eukaryota; Metazoa; Chordata; Actinopteri; Beloniformes; Adrianichthyidae.